This 202-nucleotide long non-coding RNA is filed under the name Vigna radiata. RNAcentral describes it as "long non-coding RNA (VRAD_LNC009780)". Lineage: Eukaryota; Viridiplantae; Streptophyta; Magnoliopsida; Fabales; Fabaceae. The record is from RNAcentral.
GGACCCAACGUGUUCUGACGCCUUAUGGACAACCGCGUCCAUCCAUCUCACAAACGGCCGUAUUCAUUCGCAUGGAAGCCAAGACUAAACGCAUCUUAGUUUCUCAAAAAUUACUAUGUAUAAACAAAGGAAUGAAAUUCUGGAUACCAAAUGAAACGUACAAGAUGCUACUUAUCAUAAAGGUACACAUUCCUGAUUCUCG